Molecule: ribosomal RNA, 439 nt
Filed under: uncultured bacterium
Lineage: Bacteria
Description: partial 16S ribosomal RNA
Rfam family: Bacterial small subunit ribosomal RNA
Source: RNAcentral
CUACGGGGGGCUCCAGUGGGGAGUAUUGCACAAUGGAGGAAACUCUGAUGCAGCAACGCCGCGUGGAGGAUGACACUUUUCGGAGCGUAAACUCCUUUUAUAUAGGAAGAAGAUGACGGUACUAUAUGAAUAAGCGCCGGCUAACUCCGUGCCAGCAGCCGCGGUAAUACGGAGGGCGCAAGCGUUACUCGGAAUCACUGGGCGUAAAGAGCGUGUAGGCGGAUUAAAAAGUCAGAAGUGAAAUCCUAUAGCUUAACUAUAGAACUGCUUCUGAAACUCUUAAUCUAGAAUAUGGGAGAGGUAGAUGGAAUUUCUGGUGUAGGGGUAAAAUCCGUAGAGAUCAGAAGGAAUACCGAUUGCGAAGGCGAUCUACUAGAACAUUAUUGACGCUAAGACGCGAAAGCGUGGGGAGCAAACAGGAUUAGAUACCCCAGUAGUC